This 164-nucleotide ribosomal RNA is filed under the name uncultured bacterium. Its description in RNAcentral is "partial 16S ribosomal RNA". It matches the Rfam family "Bacterial small subunit ribosomal RNA", at positions 355 to 511 of the family's 1533-position model. The record is from RNAcentral.
UAGGGAAGUCUUCCACAAUGGCGAAAGCCUGAUGGAGCAACGCCGCGUGUGUGAUGAAGGGUUUCGGCUCGUAAAACACUGUUGUAAGAGAAGAAUGGCAUUGAGAGUAACUGUUCAAUGUGUGACGGUAUCUUACCAGAAAGGAACGGCUAAAUACGUGCCAG